RNAcentral lists this long non-coding RNA (244 nucleotides) under Sorghum bicolor (sorghum). RNAcentral's name for it is "long non-coding RNA (SBIC_LNC014862)". Lineage: Eukaryota; Viridiplantae; Streptophyta; Magnoliopsida; Poales; Poaceae. The record is from RNAcentral.
UGGCAAACUUGUAAAUAACCGAAAGCGUACUCUAUUUAAACCGAGGGGAAUACGUUUUUGAAAAGAGAAAGCGUACUCUGUGAAACCCGUUUUUGGACCGCGGGUUUAUACCUAAAAUGUUCCAGGGUCUCUCUAGGAAGAUUCACCCCGAAGGGGUAUCUUCUUUUCCUGUGCGUCGAUCUGAAAACCGACGGCUCACAGCGCUCCAAGGGGAAACAGGGGAAAGGGCCGGCCACCGACGUGG